RNAcentral lists this ribosomal RNA (301 nucleotides) under uncultured bacterium. Its description in RNAcentral is "partial 16S ribosomal RNA". It matches the Rfam family "Bacterial small subunit ribosomal RNA", at positions 509 to 807 of the family's 1533-position model. The record is from RNAcentral.
CAGCCGCCACGGUAAUACGAAUGGUGCAAGCGUUACUCGGAAUUACUGGGCGUAAAGCGUGUGUAGGUGGUUGUUUAAGUCUGUCGUGAAAGCCCUGGGCUCAACCUGGGAAUUGCAGUGGAUACUGGGUCACUAGAGUGUGGUAGAGGAUAGUGGAAUUUCCGGUGUAGCAGUGAAAUGCGUAGAGAUCGGAAGGAACAUCUGUGGCGAAGGCGACUAUCUGGGCCAAUACUGACGCUCAUGCACGAAAGCGUGGGGAGCAAACAGGAUUAGAUACCCGCGUAGUCCCUGUCUCUUAUAC